GAAGUUAUUGAUCAAACUAGUUUGUGGACUUGCGGAGGCAGAAUGCCUUCUGAACUCAGCUGGAGGAAACCACCAGCCAAUGUGCCCUCGUUGACCUUGCCCUGUGGUUUAUAACAAUAGGCCACCAGCAUCCAUGACUGGAGACCCUCCUCCCAUUCUGCCAUUGUGCCUUCUGAAGAAUGCACUCCGAGACUAGCAUGGAAGACAUGGAUCUUUGCUAUCUUUGCUACCCCCAACAUCCCAAUGAGACCUUCCUUAAAUCAGUGCAGCAUAGCACUAAGGUCUGAAUAUUCGUGCCCCUACCCCAAUUCAUAUGCAAAAUCCUAACCCCCCAGGUGAUGGUAUCAGCAGAUGGGGCCUUUUGAGAGGUGAUCAGGUCAUGAGGACAGAGCCCUCAUGAAUGGACUCGUACCCUUAGAAAAGACAUGGCAGAGAGCCAGCCAGUGCCUACCACCAUGUGAGGACACGUGGAAAGUGCCAUCUAUGAGGAAGAGGCCGUCACCAGGCACUGCUAGUGGCUUGAUCUUGGACUUCCCAGCCUCCGGAACUGUGAGAAAAAAAUGUUUGUUGUUUAUAAGCCACCUCAUUUAUGGUAUUUUUGUUAUGGCAGCCCAAAUGAAGAAGACAUACAGGAAAACAGAAUAAUUUUUAAAAUACCUAAAUAAGCAUUAAAGUAAAAUAGGAAUGGUCACUUCCAAGAUGGUUGGCUACAGUGUUCUUCUCCAACUAACCCUCCCCUUGAGAACAACUAGAAAAACUGCAUAAAAUAUUUUGGAAACUGCUGAGGGUAUCAGAGAGCUACCAGGGCAGUGAGGAUUUGAGGAACCAAAAUCAAGAGGAGAAGGGGAUCGCAGAGGCGUGCCGGACAUUCAGGUCCACUUUCCCCGCUGAGGCAUUUGCCAGUUCAGAGUGUCUGUGGAGGGGCUGAGAAGCUAAGGAGAACUUUGGGCAGUCUCACAGGGCUGGGGAAACCCACCUCAGUGUUCAGGCCCUGCUGUGCAGGAGAGGGCCGGGCAAGCACUCCAGACUUUCAGGUGGGGCAGCGGAGGGGAUACCCCCAGGCAAAAUGCUGAACCGGAAAUGGACCCAUCUUCACAAAGACUGAAAGCAGCUUUGAAUCAGCUCAUCCAGUCUGGCCUAAGGCAAUCUGCCCCUGGCCUAAGUGCCUGCCAAAAGCAAAAGUAAAUCCUCUGCAGGCAGGUGGAUAACAUCAUCUAGAACCUCAGAUUAUAUCAAUGAUGUUAUAUUUAGAAUAUCUGGUAUUCAAAACAGACAGAUAGGUGUGAGACCCACUUUGGGAACUGGCCGUGGGGUCUGGUUCAGUGUACGAUUUCUCAUGAGGAGGGCAGCUGUUUGCAGAGGGAGCCGUGUGCUGGUGCUAACAGCGUUAGCUGCGGUGCAGAGGGUGGUGUGAGCUGUGCAGACACUCUCUCAUCUUCUCCGAACAACAGCUCGGGUGUCGCUAUUGUGAUUUUUCCCAUUUCACAGGGUGACCGGCUCAAGGAAGAUACUCACACUGCGACUUAGCUUCAGGGCCUGGCUUAAGGCUUGUUAAAGGAAACACUCAUUUACCGGACCUCAUCUGCAGACAGCUCCUGGGUUUAAGCGGCACAGAGCACCACACCCGCAGGGUGGCAUGCCACACCACUCCACUGGAGCUCCCGUGUCAACUUGCAGACGGCUGCUAAUGCUGAGCCACGGUUGCCAGAACGUGGGACUGAAUUCCUUGGCUCCUGGGAGGCCGGCAUGGAAGGUGAAGCAGAUGCCUUCAGACCUCUGGGACCAUGGACUGGGGCCCUUGCGGUGGGUUUCUCAGGCACACCCCCAAGGGAGUCCAGACAGAAACCUGGAGCCCCGAGAAAGCUCUCUUGGGAAGUCACUGGGAGCUGCAGGAUGUUCUUAGCAAGCAUCUCAUUCAGAGGGUUUUGAAAUGGGCUCCUCAGGCCCUGGAAGUUCUUUGGAGCAAGGCGGGGUGGGGCAGGGGAAAGGGGACAGGAGGGCUCGGCCCUGCCCAGCCCCGGAUCAGCAGUAUGUUUCACCCUGAUCUGCUUUUUACACUGAUGUUACACAUAAGAUUUCAUUGUUUAAAAUGUUUAAUUUUUUUUUUUUUUUAAUUUUAAAAAGUCCAAUCCUUAAAAAAAAAAAAAAAAAAAA
This is a long non-coding RNA of Piliocolobus tephrosceles (Ugandan red Colobus), 2154 nucleotides long. RefSeq lists it as uncharacterized. NCBI's taxonomy places the organism in Eukaryota, Metazoa, Chordata, Mammalia, Primates, Cercopithecidae. The transcript has 2 exons. The record is from RefSeq and is a predicted model, not a curated record.